GAUCCUGGCUCAGGAUGAACGCUAGCGGCAGGCUUAAUACAUGCAAGUCAAGGGGGUAGCAAUACAACCGGCGCACGGGUGAGUAACGCGUACACAACAUACCAUAUACUGGAGUAUAGCUUUGGGAAACUGAAGGUAAUCCUCCAUAACAUUGCGAGAGGGCAUCUGAUUGCAAUUAAAGUUCCGGCGGUAUAUGAUUGGUGUGCGUUUGAUUAGCUAGUUGGUAGGGUAACGGCCUACCAAGGCGACGAUCAAUAGCUGGCGUGAGAGCGCGACCAGCCACACUGGAACUGAGACACGGUCCAGACUCCUACGGGAGGCAGCAGUAGGGAAUAUUGGACAAUGGGCGAAAGCCUGAUCCAGCCAUGCCGCGUGAUAGAUGAAGGCCCUCUGGGUUGUAAAUAUCUUUUAUCUGGGAAGAAACUCCUCUAUUCUUAGAGGCCUGACGGUACCAGAGGAAUAAGCCCCGGCUAACUCUGUG
This 481-nucleotide ribosomal RNA is filed under the name uncultured bacterium. Its description in RNAcentral is "bacterial SSU rRNA". It matches the Rfam family "Bacterial small subunit ribosomal RNA", at positions 15 to 507 of the family's 1533-position model. The record is from RNAcentral.